The sequence is a transfer RNA, 78 nucleotides long. It matches the Rfam family "tRNA". Rfam says of the family: Transfer RNA (tRNA) molecules are approximately 80 nucleotides in length. Their secondary structure includes four short double-helical elements and three loops (D, anti-codon, and T loops).
CGCGGAGUAGAGCAGUUCGGUAGCUCGCUGGGCUCAUAACCCAGAGGUCGUGUGGUUCGAAUCCCGCCUCCGCCACUA